RNAcentral lists this long non-coding RNA (570 nucleotides) under Capsicum annuum. Its description in RNAcentral is "long non-coding RNA (CANN_LNC021707)". Lineage: Eukaryota; Viridiplantae; Streptophyta; Magnoliopsida; Solanales; Solanaceae. The record is from RNAcentral.
GUGGCGGAAACUAUCCGCCACCAAAUAACAACCCUUAUGGUUACAUAACUCCACCACCUCCAAAUCCCAUUGUACCAUAUUUCCCUUUCUAUUUUCAUAGCCCACCACCACCUACCUCCAAAUCUAUUCAGUUAAAAGAACACUCUUUUGUCAUUUUUGUUCUUGUUGUAUUAGUUGUUGUAUAAUUUCUUUAUAUGAUAUUGCAGUUUAUAUUUUUCAGGUUCAUUACAAUGUGCAGAAGAACAAGAAGUAGUGGAGUAGUAAUAAUUGUGAGGGUGUCAAUUAUUUUCCAUAAAAAGAAUGGAUCUUGAUUGAUGAAAAAGUUGUUACUUACUAUUACUACUUUUGUUUUUUAACUUUUGUUGAUGAAACAAUAAAGUGGUUGUAAGAAUUAUGUUAUUAGUGAUGCACAUUUUCAUUGUUGUACUUGUAUACAUGUAUUCACUCACCUUGUGUACUACAAUGAAUUUAAGGAUGGAGUAACUUUCUAUAUUUUAUUGCAUUAUAUUGUUUCGAUCAGCUUGAAUGCAUUUCGGCUAAUUUAUAAAGUACGUGCAAAAAUCAAACCGA